CUUGCCAGAAGAGGUUGUCUGUGAUGCUAUCUACUGAGGUUAAAGACUUUUUGAAGCAAAGAGGAGCAUCUCAUCUGAAACUGAUGUCUAUCAUGGAUAUUUAACUGCAGUUCUGUGAGUAUCCCAACUUAACCAUGAAGAUGACUGCAAACUGUAAGUCAUUCAUUUCUCAUUACUCUUGGGCACAUUGAUGUAUUUUUGCUUCCUGGUGAGUUAACCCGUUACCUAAAGGUUGAUCUGAGUAGUAAGGAUGUUUUAUUGGUUCAUUGGUUUCUUAGGCGUUUGGUUUAUGUUGGUUUUAAUGAUUUGUUAAAAUGGUUACGAGAUCCAAGUUAUUGCUGUAAGCUGGAGUAAUGGGUUGGGUUCUGAUGUCUUAAGUCUUCUUUCCAGCUACUCUCCUGAGCUCUGCAUCUUCAACACACGAGUGUUGCUUUACUGAUGAGGGUGUGGUCUGAGUGAGCGGAGGUGCAUACUGGGAUACAGAGCUGUCUGAAUUCUACAGGUCUGUAGGCAC
This is a long non-coding RNA of Gadus chalcogrammus (walleye pollock), 514 nucleotides long. RefSeq lists it as uncharacterized. The record is from RefSeq and is a predicted model, not a curated record. Lineage: Eukaryota; Metazoa; Chordata; Actinopteri; Gadiformes; Gadidae. The transcript is spliced from 3 exons.